Molecule: ribosomal RNA, 503 nt
Filed under: uncultured Actinomycetes bacterium
Lineage: Bacteria; Bacillati; Actinomycetota; Actinomycetes
Description: bacterial SSU rRNA
Rfam family: Bacterial small subunit ribosomal RNA
Source: RNAcentral
UGGGGAAUAUUGGACAAUGGGCGAAAGCCUGAUCCAGCAACGCCGCGUGAGGGAUGACGGCCUUCGGGUUGUAAACCUCUUUCAGCAGGGACGAAGCGCAAGUGACGGUACCUGCAGAAGAAGCACCGGCCAACUACGUGCCAGCAGCCGCGGUAAUACGUAGGGUGCGAGCGUUGUCCGGAAUUAUUGGGCGUAAAGGGCUCGUAGGCGGUUUGUCGCGUCAGGAGUGAAAACUCGGGGCUUAACCCCGAGCCUGCUUCUGAUACGGGCAGACUAGAGGUAUGCAGGGGAGAACGGAAUUCCUGGUGUAGCGGUGAAAUGCGCAGGAUAUCAGGAGGAACACCGGUGGCGAAGGCGGUUCUCUGGGCAUUACCUGACGCUGAGGAGCGAAAGUGUGGGGAGCGAACAGGAUUAGAUACCCUGGUAGUCCACACCGUAAAACGUUGGGCGCUAGGUGUGGGACUCAUUCCACGAGUUCCGUGCCGCAGCUAACGCAUUAAGCC